CGGGGAGGUGGCACCAUGAAGCGCUGCUGGCUGAUCUGAGCUGCUGUUGUGGUGUGGUGUUGUGUUGUUGUGUUGUUGUGUUGUGGUAUUGUGUUGUGUUGUUGUGUUGUGUUGUUGUGUUGUUGUGUUGUGAUGUUGUUGUGGUAUUGUGUUGUGUUGUGGUGUUGUGCUGUUGUGUUGUAGUGUUGUGGUAUUGUGUUGUGUUGUUGUGUUGUGUUGUUGUGUUGUUGCUCUGUUGUGUUAUUGUGUUGUGUUGUUGUGUUGUGUUGUUGUGUUGUGUUGUUGUGUUGUGUGGUUGUGUUGUGGUGUUCUGACAUUGCAGCGUUGUGAUGUUCUGUUGUGGUGUUGUUGUGUUGGUGUUGUGUUGUGUGUUAUGUUGUGUUAUGUUGUGUGUUGUGUUAUGUUGUGUUG
RNAcentral lists this long non-coding RNA (411 nucleotides) under Coturnix japonica (Japanese quail). Its description in RNAcentral is "lncRNA (ENSCJPG00005002785.1)". The record is from RNAcentral. Lineage: Eukaryota; Metazoa; Chordata; Aves; Galliformes; Phasianidae.